RNAcentral lists this long non-coding RNA (209 nucleotides) under Daucus carota (carrot). Its description in RNAcentral is "long non-coding RNA (DCAR_LNC005174)". Lineage: Eukaryota; Viridiplantae; Streptophyta; Magnoliopsida; Apiales; Apiaceae. The record is from RNAcentral.
UCAUCUCCACCUUAUCGAUCUUUUUGGUCUUCGAUUCUUUCACUGAGAUUUUUGGGACAAUGGGAUUGGUCUUCAUGGUCUCAAGCUUCUUGGAGGCUUUGUCGUUUGUUGAUUUGAGUGAUUUGUAGGAGCUUGUACAAUAGAUAAGACCCACGAGAUAGCUUCACAUACGAUGGAUGUACAAAUUCAAAGCUAUCUCUUUGCGGGCG